RNAcentral lists this ribosomal RNA (1017 nucleotides) under Triticum aestivum (bread wheat). RNAcentral describes it as "partial small subunit ribosomal RNA". Lineage: Eukaryota; Viridiplantae; Streptophyta; Magnoliopsida; Poales; Poaceae. The record is from RNAcentral.
AUGUUGGAUUGUCAUUUCCUUGCAGAGAUCUUUCCAAUAGCAGUUUGCCACCUGCAAAACACCGAGAAUCGACGAUUCACUUACAAGGAGCUAGAGAAGUUUACAAAUAAGUUUGAACGAUUCAUUGGACAAGGAGGUUUUGGGCCAGUGCACUAUGGUUGUUUAGAAGACAAUACUGAGGUUGCUGUCAAGAUGCGUUCUGAGGCCUCGUCGCAUGGACUCGAUGAGUUCUUAGCUGAGGUCCAGAGCUUGACAAAGGUGCAUCACAGGAAUCUAGUAUCUUUGGUUGGUUACUGCUGGGAAAAAGAUCAUUUACCAUUGAUUUAUGAGUACAUGUCUCAAGGCAAUCUCUGUGAUCAUCUGAGAGGCCGAAAUGUUGCUUCUGAAACCUUGAAUUGGGGAACGCGGGUGCGAGUUGUGCUUCAAGCUGCACAAGGCCUAGAUUAUCUGCACAAGGGUUGUAGCCUGCCAAUAAUUCACCGAGAUGUGAAGACCAGCAACAUCCUCUUGGGUCAAAAUCUGCAAGCGAAAUUAUCUGAUUUCGGACUCUGCAAAACCUAUAUGAGUGACACGCAGACUCACGUAUCAACCGUUGCAGCUGGGACAGCAGGUUACAACGACCCUGAGUACUACCUCACUGGCAGGCUCACUGAGAGCAGCGACGUUUACAGUUUCGGGAUUGUUCUACUCGAGAUAACCACCGGCGAGCGUCCGACACUGCCCAAACAUGGUCACAUUGUUCAGCGUGUGAGACAGAAGAUUGCCUCUGGUAACAUCAGCUCAGUUGCCGAUUGCCAGCUCAAUGAUGACUACGAUGUGAGCUCCAUGUGGAAAGUGGUUGACACCGCCAUGGCGUGCACAUCGGACAUUGCCAUCCAAAGGCCAACAAUGGCCAUCGUGGUGGCGCAGCUGAGGGAGAGCCUAGCACUGGAGGAUGCUCGAGAGGGCAGUGGCGUCGAUAGCAGUUCCACGAAUGGUGCCGCUGCGCUGUCCGCAUUUGGUCCAUCAGCAAGAUGA